Molecule: long non-coding RNA, 531 nt
Organism: Herpailurus yagouaroundi (jaguarundi)
Lineage: Eukaryota; Metazoa; Chordata; Mammalia; Carnivora; Felidae
Exons: 4
Source: RefSeq, a predicted model, not a curated record
GUAAAAAUGCCUCAACCGUGAAUAAGAAUGAGACCAGUGUGGUGUGGACCAUCCAGGCAGGCUUGCUGGAUAAGCAAGUGUAGCACCCAGUGCCUGUCUUCCUGGGCAGAGACCACCGCCCCCCGCCAUGUCUCCAUGUUCCUGGACAUGUACAGAACUUUUCCACUACUGAAAAGGUGCUGGAUCUGUUGAUUCCAAGGUAUGGAUGCAUCCUUCCUGAAAUGGGAUGAAGAUGGCAGACCCCUGGAGCAGCAGAAAAUGGCCAUCUUCUCCAUUCUGGGCAUGUGGAUGGACCAGUCCCCUGAGGAUUUUUUCCAACCUGCUGAAUUUCCCUGCCUGAAGAUGCUGCUGGCAUAUGUGGGGCUUAACAUGCUGGGCUCACACCUGGAGCACCAUACGUCUGUUUUCCUCUCAUAGCUAGGACACAUGGAGCCCAAUGAGCCAGAGGUUGAGACUAUAGCACCCGUUCCGGAGCAGGAUCCAGAACCAACUCAAGAGCUAGUGCUAGGCACCCCAGUGCCUACUGUGGUG